AUGGGAGAUAAAAUUAAAGAUAAGAUGGGAGAUGCCAGUGUAGACAAACUAUGUGAGAGUAUGCAAAAAUUAUUUGCCCAGCUUGUUAAGCAAUCCCAGCAAAAAUCUAAAGGAACCAUCACUUUGGAGCCUAACCCGGUCAGGCUUUCUGGACCUGGAAAUUAUUUCAGUUGGUCACGGCAUGCUACUCUGAUUCUAGGAUCUCAUGGCCUCAAACAUUUUUUGGACGGCACUUCUAGGAAACCAGAUGAUAAAUUGGAGUUGGAGCAAUGGGAACAGAAUGAGCAGCGUGUUACGGUGUGGUUGUUGGGGUUGAUGGAGCCUUCGGUCCAUGAGCAGGUUGAGAACCUGCAAACUACAACAGAAGUGUGGAAGGAAAUUGGACAGCAACUCUCUGGCAAAACAAACAAGAUGCAAGUGACAAGGGUGCUCCAUGAGAUGAGAAACCUUAGAGAGAGGUCUAUAACAGAUUAUGCUGGUGAACUGAAAAGGUUAUACAGAGACCUUGAGUUCUUUCGUCCUUUCAAGUCUAAUGAUCCAAAAGACUUGGCUCUUCUUCGUGAAUGGUUUCAGCCCAUUCGUGUUCAAACUUUUUUGGAAGGGCUAAACCAAGAGUUUGAUCUUCUAAGAAAAAUGAUCUAUUCAGCUCCGGAUUGGCCCACCCUUGAUGAAGCAGUAUCUAGUGUUCUCAAAGAGGAGACUCGGUUAUCAAACCAAGUCGUGACCCCACAUGCAAGUGUUGACACUCGUGUUGCUCUCUCUUCACAGGCUCAUACUACAUCUUCUGUUGCUUCUAACAAUGAUCAAGCAAAUCCUACUAAGUUUGAGUACAUGAGAAAGCCAAAGGUAGUAUGUGAUCACUGCAAGCAAACUGGCCACAUAAAGAAGAAUUGUUUUGAUCUGAUUGGAUAUCCACCUGGGUGGCAACAACGACAUGGACGGCUGAAGUUUGGUGAUGCCCGAGGGAAGAAGCAAGAUCUUGUGCAUCUCACUUCAUCCACAAGUGAAUUAUCAGCAGUAGCUGCACCAGCUCUUGAGGAAUUUAAAUCAAAACUCUUAGCUGCAUCCAAUGAAGUUCCUGCUGGCUCUGUGUCCAGUUACCAUGCAUCUCAAGGAACUGAAGACAAGGAAGGUACUUGGGACUGGCACCGAGUGUGA
This 1158-nucleotide ribosomal RNA is filed under the name Triticum aestivum (bread wheat). RNAcentral describes it as "partial small subunit ribosomal RNA". Lineage: Eukaryota; Viridiplantae; Streptophyta; Magnoliopsida; Poales; Poaceae. The record is from RNAcentral.